CAGUUGGUUUUCAGAUGGAAAGCCGUGGACCACUCAGGGAAGCUCCUCCGAACGAUUACCGCGUUCUGGCCAUUGUGUCGAUAUUCUUCUGUCCACUGCUUGGCCUCUUGGCACUUGUCAUGUCAUUUCUGACUAAUCAGCGCUAUGAAGAAGAUGACCUCAAAAGAGCUGUGGACGCAUCCAGAGAUACAAAAUUUUCAGCAAUUCUUGCCAUUGGUUUUGGAAUUGCCAUCGCACUCUUUUUUAUUUUCAUUGUGUUAAUCGUGCCAACAUUUGCCUAGAAAUAGCCUUGGCACAUAUAUUGGUCUCCUCUAGCAAAAAAGUAAUUUACUCAGGAGGUAAAAACAGUCAUAACAGUAAAUCGCCUUAGGUAAAGUAAAGCACUCAUUGUUGGCUCAGCAACAACGGUGCAUUUUAAAGUGCUCACGUGCAUAUUAUAGCUACUUUUUUCUCAGGAGAGUACUUCAUUUCAUAGAAAGCACCGGCGAAAGAUAUUACAUAAAUGUCAAUCAGAAAAUGUAGACAGUACAACAUUUUGAAGCUGUGCGGAAACGAUCGGCAUGGGUACUCAUAUUUUACUGUAUCUGUAGAAUAACACACAUUUCAUUUGCCAUCUUCGAUUAUGCACCCCCGUGCAAUCAUGAAAUUCAAAAUAUAAUCCCACCCCUGUCCUGAAAAAGCCGCCAGCAUGCGUGAAUGAAUGAAUGUAUGUAGUAAGAGAGGACGGUAUUACUCCAGUUUUUUUAUUCUGGGAAAACAAAAACAUUGAAUAUGAAUCAAAUAGAUUCAAUCAUUGUGGAGAUUGACAAGGAGAUCAUAUUUGUAUAGUUAAAAAUAUGAGUACCGGGCGCUUAAUCGAAGAAGUACGAAUUACCGAAAAAUUAUACGUAAUCAGUUUUUAAGUACGUAGAACUUUGUUAUUCUGCGUUCAGUUUGCCUCAAUAACAACCUGACUAUAGUUCUAAGAGUGGAUUGUGCAAUCAGUUUUUCUUAUCCCUGUAUACAUUUGUAAGAAAUGUACCACUCCUCAGUUUAAAUAAGUAAAAUUAAAUGAGCAUGGGAAUGAAAGCUACGUGGUGUAUAAACCAGUAUUGUGCAAAUAAAUCGUUGUGUAAUCGUUGUAAGAAACAUCAAAAACAAAGCUAACAUUUCUUACAUGUAUAAAGAUCUUUUGCUCCGAUCCAUCAGAACAUAAAAAUUUAUAGUGUAAUUCGAUUGCGUUUUUUACACGAGCUUCUGGCAUACAUGAGUGCAAACUCGCCCCUUGUAUUGACAUUAAUAAUAAAAUUGAUUGUAUUGUAUUGUAUUUUUGGAGGGACUAAAUUGAAGAGCAAACUUUGACAUGCAACCGAAUACAGAAGGGCAAAUAAAUUUCGUUAAGUUUA
Molecule: long non-coding RNA, 1385 nt
Filed under: Orbicella faveolata
Lineage: Eukaryota; Metazoa; Cnidaria; Anthozoa; Scleractinia; Merulinidae
Description: uncharacterized LOC110041685
Source: RNAcentral